AUGGUCUCAAUCUCAGAUUAUGCUCCUUUCGAUGACUGCAAUUUUAAAACUCCUCAAAAUCCGCUGUCAAUCACUAACGCUUUCGUCCCUCCGUCUUCUAACAAUGCCACUUUAUUCCUGUCGUCCACGUCGAUACCUACUAAUGUUCUACCAUCAAAUUUCAACAGUAACAGUAAGAGUUUCCCCUUCUUAACUCCAGUUGUUUCGACUCAUUCACUCUCUGUCAGUACGAAUAACAUGCCCUAUUAUACCUCCUCAACUGCUUCGAAUAGUACAUCUAUUUCCACUAUAAACACUAACUUCACUGUAGCGUCAAACACCAUCACAGUUAGCGAAGUUUCAGUAUGCAGCAGUGCUACUGCUUCAAAUUAUCUUCCUCCUUUUAUCGGGUCGAGCACUACAAUAUCUAGUCCCACUGUAAGCUUUUCCCACUAUCUCUCACCAGUAAUUACAACUUCUAAAAACACGAAGCGGACUUCAAGUUGCUCAGUAUCUAAAUCGGUUACUAGUUCUGGCGCUGCAACAUAUCUACCACCAAUAAUUUCAACAGCUUCCAUCUCUAGUAACACAAAUAAAAUUUCCUCCUAUCUUCCUCCAGUCAUUUCCACAAGUUCCUUAGCCUCAACUCGAAAUAAUACAGUAGCAAACUAUUUACCUAAUAUUAUUCCAUCAUCAAGCUCUGCCGAUAAAAACCGCUUGUCAAACUAUUUGUCUCCUGUUAUUCCGACCACCAACACCCUUAGUAACAACAAUUUAACAAAUUAUUUGCCCUCUGUUUUACCUGCUGUUAAUGAUGCUUCGCUUUACUUACCGCUCACCAGUAUCAGCACAACCGGGUCAAGUGUUUCGACUCAAGAUAUCAAUUCAUCCUCAUCGUCCUAUGUAUUAUCCACACCCACUAACACGAAAUUAAACGCUCCCUCAACCCAAGAUAAAUUUGCACAUAAUAAUACACCAUCAUAUCAACCCUACAUUUCGAAUGUACCAACAAGUAAUAGUGGUGUAUUGAAUGGACCAACCACAAACCAUUUACCUGUUUUUUCAAACAAGACAAGUGAUCCUGCGGUUAGCUCAAGCUAUUUACCGGUGUUUUCGAACACAGCUGGGGUCACUUCAUCUUCCACUUACCUACCAAUAUUUUCAAACAGUCCAUCAGAUCUGCCGAUGAUGUCAUCAAGUUAUCUUUCCUUGCCAACCAGUAAUCAGGGUCCUAAUUCGGUUUCAACGCUAAACUCAGCAUACACCUCAAACUAUUUGCCUUCUUCAAACUUUUCCUCCAGCAAUUAUUUCACUGUCAACUUGAACGCAGCUGUGCCUCACGAUUCACAAAUAUCAAACUCAACCGCAAAUUUCAUCUCUUACUCUGCUCCAUCCACUGUAGCUAAUACACCAUGCAGCUCUACAGACGUUCAGUGUUCAUCCAAUUUCUCAAUAUCUUCACCUGCCGCCUCUCGAUCCUCAAAUAAAUCCUCCAAAACCUCCCCAGGCUCCUGCAAAACUUUUGUGUCCGCUAAAAAGGCACCCAACAGCGCUGAAGUCCUCAAUUCAGAGGCUAAAAAAGUGCAUUCUACAAACCAAAAGCUCAAUCAAGAGGAUUCUAGUUUGAGAACAAGCAAUAAGGAGAAUUCUUCCACUAAAGCUGUACUGAAAUCGUGUAACCCAUGUGUAGUAAGCAAAGGUACGAGUUUUCCAAACAGCAGCUGCAUCUCUAAUAAUCUGAAUAAUCAAAGCACCUUAUCCUCCAAUCAAAUUGAAUCACCAGCAAUAUUUGAAACUUAUAAACCUGCUUUAAUCCAUCAAAUCGGAGGAAAUUAUGCAGCAGAACAUUCCAGUGCAAUGAAUGUCAAAGGUGUCGCAACCUCUAUUUCCUCCAAAACUAGUUUGGCUCCUCCAAUGCUCCCGCUGAACUCCGGGAGCACCCCGUCAAAUAAUUUUAGUUGUAUUUACUCAACGUCAGAUAGCAUCUCCUAUCAGCCUAUAAAUCUACCGAAUACCUUCCAAAACCGGCCAGAGUUUGUAGAUCAAGUCAACAUUGGUCCGUCAUCGAGUUUCAACAAUGAUACUGCCAUCAACUCAAUUAAAAUGACGCCUACAAGUCAAAAAUAUGUGCCAUCAAAUGAGCAGUUAAUUUACAAUGCGACAGCCAACUCUGGAUCUUCAACUUUAACGAACUUCAACUUAAGUGCUAUUCUUCCGGAGAUGAAUGACAAGCUAAGGUGCCAUACCUCAUCAAAUAGUUCUUGCAUCACAAGGGGACUUUCAGAGCAGUCAUCCUUUGGAAAAUAUGACUUUUAUCAAUAUCCAGAAAAGAAGGCCCAUCCUCUAACAGACAAAAAAGUACAUCAAAUGCAGCAUGCAAGUCAAACUGUGCCUCCUAAUCAAUUCAAUUUGAGUAGUAAGUCUAGCUCCUCCUCAUUUCAAAAUAAUUUGGAUACAUCAUGA
RNAcentral lists this long non-coding RNA (2442 nucleotides) under Bemisia tabaci. RNAcentral's name for it is "lncRNA ENSSSA1UGG005818". Lineage: Eukaryota; Metazoa; Arthropoda; Insecta; Hemiptera; Aleyrodidae. The record is from RNAcentral.